AUGGGGAGGCGGCCCCUCGCCAGCGCGGUCGCGUUCGUCGCGCUCGCCGUGCUCCUCGUCGUCGUCGCGGGCGCUGUCCACGGUGCGGGCGUACCAUCGUCGUCCGUGAUGGCGUCGGCGGGCAACGGCCGCGGCCGUGCCGUCGUCGCAACGGCCUCCUUCGAUGCCGCCCGGUGCAAGGAGCAGAGGAAGAAGAAAGCCGGUGGUGCAGCGGCGUGGGCAGGCGACGGCGAUGAGGACGAGGACGACGACAAGCAUGUCGUGCCGACCGGCCCAAACCCGUUGCACAACAGAUGA
This 297-nucleotide ribosomal RNA is filed under the name Triticum aestivum (bread wheat). Its description in RNAcentral is "partial small subunit ribosomal RNA". Lineage: Eukaryota; Viridiplantae; Streptophyta; Magnoliopsida; Poales; Poaceae. The record is from RNAcentral.